UCCGGCGACUUUACUGAAGGGGCAACACCCGUUCCCAUUCCGAAUACGGCAGUUAAGCCCUUCGAGGUCGAUGGUACUUCAGUCGCAAGGCUGCGGGAGAGUAGAAUGUUGCCGGAA
This is a non-coding RNA of Omnitrophica WOR_2 bacterium, 117 nucleotides long. The record is from Rfam. NCBI's taxonomy places the organism in Bacteria, Pseudomonadati, Candidatus Omnitrophota.